UGCUUUCUGGGACCCGAUGUUCUGAGGAAGC
Molecule: non-coding RNA, 31 nt
Filed under: Rattus norvegicus (Norway rat)
Lineage: Eukaryota; Metazoa; Chordata; Mammalia; Rodentia; Muridae
Source: RNAcentral